This 536-nucleotide ribosomal RNA is filed under the name Anaplasma platys. RNAcentral's name for it is "bacterial SSU rRNA". It matches the Rfam family "Bacterial small subunit ribosomal RNA", at positions 89 to 660 of the family's 1533-position model. The record is from RNAcentral. Lineage: Bacteria; Pseudomonadati; Pseudomonadota; Alphaproteobacteria; Rickettsiales; Anaplasmataceae.
AAAUUAGUGGCAGACGGGUGAGUAAUGCAUAGGAAUCUACCUAGUAGUAUGGGAUAGCCACUAGAAAUGGUGGGUAAUACUGUAUAAUCCCUGCGGGGGAAAGAUUUAUCGCUAUUAGAUGAGCCUAUGUUAGAUUAGCUAGUUGGUAGGGUAAAGGCCUACCAAGGCAGUGAUCUAUAGCUGGUCUGAGAGGAUGAUCAGCCACACUGGAACUGAGAUACGGUCCAGACUCCUACGGGAGGCAGCAGUGGGGAAUAUUGGACAAUGGGCGCAAGCCUGAUCCAGCUAUGCCGCGUGAGUGAGGAAGGCCUUAGGGUUGUAAAACUCUUUCAGUGGGGAAGAUAAUGACGGUACCCACAGAAGAAGUCCCGGCAAACUCCGUGCCAGCAGCCGCGGUAAUACGGAGGGGGCAAGCGUUGUUCGGAAUUAUUGGGCGUAAAGGGCAUGUAGGCGGUUCGGUAAGUUAAAGGUGAAAUGCCAGGGCUUAACCCUGGAGCUGCUUUUAAUACUGCCAGACUCGAGUCCGGGAGAGGAUA